ACCGGCGACCAUACCACGUUGAAAGCAUCGGUUUUCGUCCGAUCACCGAAGUUAAGCAACAUUGGGCCCGGUCAGUACAUAUUUCGUGGUUUCUCGUC
This 98-nucleotide ribosomal RNA is filed under the name Schistosoma mansoni. The record is from RNAcentral. Lineage: Eukaryota; Metazoa; Platyhelminthes; Trematoda; Strigeidida; Schistosomatidae.